This 347-nucleotide unclassified non-coding RNA is filed under the name fungal sp. RNAcentral's name for it is "partial internal transcribed spacer region". The stretch from base 1 to 46 matches the Rfam family "Eukaryotic small subunit ribosomal RNA", at positions 1786 to 1831 of the family's 1831-position model. The record is from RNAcentral. Lineage: Eukaryota; Fungi.
AAGUCGUAACAAGGUUUCCGUAGGUGAACCUGCGGAAGGAUCAUUAAAGAAUUUAACUUGGUAGAUUGUCGCUGGCUUUCGAGCAUGUGCACAUCUAUCAUCGUUAUAUUUCUCCACCUGUGCACCUUUUGUAGACCCUGGAUGCGCUUUAUCUCUGAAAGUUAUUAAGUUAACUCUCAGGUUUGUUAGGUUUGCAGGACUCUCGCGAGUUCAGCUCUCCUUGUAUAGUGUUCAGGAGUUCUAUGUACUUUCAUAUACACCGAAUUGAAAUAUCAGAAUGUUGUUAUAAGGUCUUUGUACCUAUAAUAAAAUUUAUACAACUUUCAGCAACGGAUCUCUUGGUUCUC